Molecule: transfer RNA, 87 nt
Filed under: Actinomyces oris
Lineage: Bacteria; Bacillati; Actinomycetota; Actinomycetes; Actinomycetales; Actinomycetaceae
Description: tRNA-Gly
Source: RNAcentral
GAGCCACUGGCUCAGGAGGGCCGAUGCGCUGCCGGCGCCUCUCAGGAUUGGAGGUUCUUCUUCAGGUUCAGCACCCGCGUGGCCGAC